CCUACGGGUGGCUGCAGUGAGGAAUAUUGGUCAAUGGACGCAAGCCUGAACCAGCCAAGUAGCGUGCAGGAUGACGGCCCUAUGGGUUGUAAACUGCUUUUGUAAGGGGGUAAACUCAGACACGCGUAUCUGUCUGUAAGUACUUUAUGAAUAAGGAUCGGCUAACUCCGUGCCAGCAGCCGCGGUAAUACGGAGGAUUCGAGCGUUAAUCGGAUUUAUUGGGUUUAAAGGGUGCGUAGGCGGUAGGAUAAGUUAAGGGUGAAAUCCCGAGGCUCAACGUCGGAAUUGCCUCUGAAACUGUGAGGCUAGAGAGUAGGUGAGGAAGGCGGAAUGUAUGGUGUAGCGGUGAAAUGCGUAGAGAUCAGACGGAACACCGAUUGCGAAGGCGACUAACCA
RNAcentral lists this ribosomal RNA (396 nucleotides) under uncultured bacterium. RNAcentral's name for it is "partial 16S ribosomal RNA". It matches the Rfam family "Bacterial small subunit ribosomal RNA", at positions 338 to 731 of the family's 1533-position model. The record is from RNAcentral.